This 386-nucleotide ribosomal RNA is filed under the name uncultured bacterium. RNAcentral describes it as "bacterial SSU rRNA". It matches the Rfam family "Bacterial small subunit ribosomal RNA", at positions 335 to 745 of the family's 1533-position model. The record is from RNAcentral.
ACUCCUACGGGAGGCAGCAGUGGGAAUCUUGGACAAUGGGGGCACCCUGAUCCAGCCAUGCCGCGUGAGCGAUGAAGGCCUUAGGGUUGUAAAGCUCUUUCACCGGUGAAGAUAAUGACGGUAGCCGGAGAAGAAGCCCCGGCUAACUCCGUGCCAGCAGCCGCGGUAAUACGGAGGGGCGUAGCGUUGUUCGGAAUUACUGGGCGUAAAGCGCGCGUAGGCGGGCUGUUAAGUCGGGGUGAAAUCCCGGGCUCAACCCGAACUGCCCUCGAUACUGGCAGCCUAAGAUCUGGAGAGGCGAGUGGAAUUCCGAGUGUAGAGGUGAAAUUCGUAGAUAUUCGGAGGAACACCAGUGGCGAAGGCGGCUCGCUGGCCAGAUACUGACG